AUGGCUCAGAACGAACGCUGGUGGCGUGUCUUAUACAUGCAAGUCGAGCGAGGCAGCAAUGCCGAGCGGCGAACGGGUGAGUAACGCGUAAGCAAUCUGCCCCAUAUCAGGAAAUACCCGUGCCAACGCGCGGUUAAUGUCCAGGAGAGUGGCUCCUUGCAGUGAGGAGUUGACUAGAGAUUUAUCGGUAUGGGAUGAGCUUGCGUCCGAUUAGCUAGUUGGCGGGGCAACGGCCCACCAAGGCGACGAUCGGUAGCCGGCCUGAGAGGGUGAUCGGCCACAUUGGGACUGAGAUACGGCCCAGACUCCUACGGGAGGCAGCAGUAGGGAAUAUUGCACAAUGGGGGAAACCCUGAUGCAGCAACGCCACGUGUGGGAAGAAGCAUUUCGGUGUGUAAACCACUGUCAUGAGGGAAUAAGGCCCGCCUUCGGACGGACUUGAAUGUACCUUGAGAGGAAGCACCGGCAAACUUCGUGCCAGCCGCAGC
RNAcentral lists this ribosomal RNA (488 nucleotides) under uncultured bacterium. RNAcentral describes it as "bacterial SSU rRNA". It matches the Rfam family "Bacterial small subunit ribosomal RNA", at positions 19 to 518 of the family's 1533-position model. The record is from RNAcentral.